This 28-nucleotide non-coding RNA is filed under the name Bombyx mori (domestic silkworm). Lineage: Eukaryota; Metazoa; Arthropoda; Insecta; Lepidoptera; Bombycidae. The record is from RNAcentral.
UAAAGCAAGUAGCAAGAGUGCAAUUGGU